CCUCGGUCGAGCUUUUGGAAAGCCUGUUUACCUUGUGAGUAAAUACUCCAAUCGUUCAGUCCGAUAUCGUGGC
Molecule: transfer RNA, 73 nt
Filed under: compost metagenome
Description: tRNA-Thr
Source: RNAcentral